RNAcentral lists this ribosomal RNA (836 nucleotides) under uncultured bacterium. Its description in RNAcentral is "bacterial SSU rRNA". It matches the Rfam family "Bacterial small subunit ribosomal RNA", at positions 28 to 862 of the family's 1533-position model. The record is from RNAcentral.
GAUGAACGCUGGCGGCGUGCUCAACACAUGCAAGUCGAACGAAGCACCUUAUUCUGAUUUCUUCGGAAUGAAAAAUUUGGUGACUGAGUGGCGGACGGGUGAGUAACGCGUGGGUAACCUGCCUCAUACAGGGGGAUAACAGUUAGAAAUGACUGCUAAUACCGCAUAAGACCACAGCACCGCAUGGUGCAGGGGCAAAAACUCCGGUGGUAUGAGAUGGACCCGCGUCUGAUUAGGUAGUUGGUGGGGUAACGGCCUACCAAGCCGACGAUCAGUAGCCGACCUGAGAGGGUGACCGGCCACAUUGGGACUGAGACACGGCCCAAACUCCUACGGGAGGCAGCAGUGGGGAAUAUUGCACAAUGGGGGAAACCCUGAUGCAGCGACGCCGCGUGAGCGAUGAAGUAUUUCGGUAUGUAAAGCUCUAUCAGCAGGGAAGAAAAUGACGGUACCUGACUAAGAAGCACCGGCUAAAUACGUGCCAGCAGCCGCGGUAAUACGUAUGGUGCAAGCGUUAUCCGGAUUUACUGGGUGUAAAGGGAGCGUAGACGGAGUGGCAAGUCUGAUGUGAAAACCCGGGGCUCAACCCCGGGACUGCAUUGGAAACUGUCAAUCUAGAGUACCGGAGAGGUAAGCGGAAUUCCUAGUGUAGCGGUGAAAUGCGUAGAUAUUAGGAGGAACACCAGUGGCGAAGGCGGCUUACUGGACGGUAACUGACGUUGAGGCUCGAAAGCGUGGGGAGCAAACAGGAUUAGAUACCCUGGUAGUCCACGCCGUAAACGAUGACUACUAGGUGUCGGGCAGCAAAGCUGUUCGGUGCCGCAGCAAACGCAAUA